This 972-nucleotide long non-coding RNA is filed under the name Gallus gallus (chicken). Its description in RNAcentral is "lncRNA (ENSGALG00010003515.1)". Lineage: Eukaryota; Metazoa; Chordata; Aves; Galliformes; Phasianidae. The record is from RNAcentral.
GGGGGGGGGCUGGGGGGGGAUUGGGGCACUGGGAGGGGGAACUGGGAGCGCUGGGAGCGAUGGGGCGGGAACUGGGAGCAGGAACUGGGAGCGCUGGGUGCGCUGAGGGGCGCUAUGGGGCAGAAUGGGGGCGCUAUGGGGCAGCUGACCCCCCCCCCUUCCCCAGACCCCCCCCAGGAUGACGUCGCCGUGGGGCUGAGCCGUGGGGCGGAGCUGUGGGGCCCCCAAUGUUCCCACGGGCGCUGCGGGCGCUGCUGGAGGGGGCGCGGACCCCCCCGGGCCGGGAGGAGGGGUGGUGCUGAGCUCCUAUAGGGCCAAUCCCCCCGAGUCCGACCCACAGCAGGUGAGUGAGUGGGGCCAGGGGGCUCUGGGGGGUCAGUGGGAACACGUGAGGGGCAGUGGGUGCCACUGCCAUGGGGUGACACCGCUGGGAUGACUCUGUGGGGUGACCCCACGAGGCGAUCCCAUGAGAUGACCCCGUAGGAUAACCUUUGGGGUGACCCCCAAAGGAUGGCCCUAUAGUUUCACCCUGAGUUGAUCCCAUGGGAUAACCCUAUGAGGUCACAAGAAGACCCCGUGGGAUGACCCCAAGAGAUGACCCACUGGGAUGACCCUAUGGGAUGACCCUAUGGGGUGACCUCAUGGGUUGACCCCAAGAGAUGACCCAUUGGGAUGACCCUAUGGGGCGACCUCAUGGGUUGACUCCAAGAGAUGACCCUAUGGGGUGACCUCACAGGUUGACCCCACGAGAUGACCCCUUGGGAUGACCCUAUGGGGUGACCUCACGGGUUGACCCCAAGAGAUGACCCCAAAGAUGGAUGAGCCAUUGGGACGCCCCCAUGAGGUGACCCCACGAUGUGACCCCCACCCCAUAACAGACGGAGCUCCGCGAAGCCGACGCGCUCUUCUCGGCCGCCCCACAGCGCUAUGGGGCGCCCCACGGCCGUCUGCUGCGCGCCGCCCCACUGCCGC